CAAAAAUUUUCAAUUGGCCGCCAAACUCAAAUAAUUACUUAAUUUUAUCCUUAUUGACACUCUCAUUAUCUAGUCCUCUUUCAUUAGUCGCUAUUUUCUUCUUUAGAGAGAGUGAGAGACCUAGCGAGAGCUGUAACAAUGGUGGCGGGCAAGAAGAGAUAAAACACUUGAGAGUGGUUUGGUGUGAGACGAAUCUACAGGUACACGAAGGACUCCUACCCAGAUCGAGAAUUUCAAGAGAUUGCAAGCACAAGCACAAUUCACAUAAAUACUUGUGUAGAAAAGAGAGAAAAUCCUCCGACAAUACUCUAGUUUCAUUUCUUUCAGAACCUUUGUUAGCGUUGCUUGGAGAUCGGAGAGUUGCUGGAGAAACGAAAGACAAUUAUUGAAUCUGUCAAGGCCGUCGACAUCACCAUAGCCCUCCACUUUGCCGCAAUUGCUUAACUCAUGUGUCUUGCGUUUAAUUUUAGAUCAACUGGUGUUAGUUUUGUUGGUUUCAAGAGACACACUAGGUGUUUGAUAAUUUGCUUGUGAGAAAGCCUUAUUGUUUCUCUCUAUCAACUGGUGUUAGUCUUGUUGUUCGUGAUCAUUACUUAUUAGAUAAAAAACCAUGUGACUUUCGCUUAACAAAGACUACUUCAA
This is a long non-coding RNA of Tripterygium wilfordii, 642 nucleotides long. RefSeq lists it as uncharacterized. The transcript has 2 exons. The record is from RefSeq and is a predicted model, not a curated record. Lineage: Eukaryota; Viridiplantae; Streptophyta; Magnoliopsida; Celastrales; Celastraceae.